UUUUUAAGUAUGGACUUGAAUAUGACAGUCUUUUCACUGAUGUCCAGGGAAUUUCUACCUUACAGUGCCCGGGGAAUGGGAUCUGGGGCUAGCUUUCUUCCUGAGAAAACCAGUCCUGGCUUUUGGGAUAUGGCUUCUCAUAUCUUGAAAGUACUCUGAUAUUCUGAAAGGAUGGUUGGUUGACACUACUGAGAGUCUACAGGGAGUGUGGGAAGUUACUCUUAGCAAACCUCAUAUUUUGGAAAGACAGAACCCAGGAAAGUUUAAUAAUUCCUGUAGGGACAGGAGUGCAGGCUGAGGUUGUUCACGGGAUGCAGGUGCUGUUCAACUUCUAAGUGCGGGCUGAGUUUAAUUCAACCCCCUUGGCCAGCACAGGCCCAGACAGGGCCUGGCUCUUUCUAGUCACCAAGUUGCCCUGACUCCCUGCCUUCUAGCAGAAUAACAAUUCGGGGGCAAUGUAGCGCUUGCCUUAUCUUCUUUGGGCUAGUUGGAGUUUCAGAGCAAAUACAUUCUUCUCUAGCCGGCUUAGCUUAAAGUCUGUUUACUUGUCCCCAGGAUAGGUGAAUAUUCAGAGGGCUCUGGGAAUGAGACCCAACAAACUGGACUUUGGUCCUCUCUUGCCACCAAUCACUCUGAUUCCUCCAGCUCCUACCUAGGGGAAUGUGUCAGCUAUAGAAGCAAUCUUGGCAUGCAGACUGGGGCAUAUCUCUUUAGGAAACUAGGUGCUGGGCUCAAAGUGAGCUGGGUUUAAGGUUUUAGUCCCCACAGUUUGGGGACACAAGCCAUUCACACAGCCUGCAACUGGGUCAGCACCUAGGAGGCUUUCAAAAACUGGGGCUCAGAUUUGUUCUGACCUCCAAGUAAAAGAAAUAAACAUUCUAGAGAUGCCCUGACACUGAGAUGGUGGAAGAGGGGAAGUUUCCUCAGUGAGCUGUAGAACAAAUGCCCUAGAAACUGCCCCCUGACAAGUAUCCCACUCAACUCCAGGCCGCGAUGGUUCAGGCAGUGGGGGGAUUUUGCAGACAGCAUCCUCCUCUUUGCUCCUCUCCCCCACCCCACCCCAACCCCGCCGUGUAAACACGAGGACUUUCUCGAGAGCCCUGGAGAGCCGCUCUAGUGGCUUCGGGGCCUGAAACCCCAGGCUUGGCUUGUUUGAUGUUUAGCAUCCCAAAGCGGCUCCCCACCCCCGCCCCAGCCUGGGAACCCCGAGCUCCGGGGCCGAAGAGAAGGGGAAGCAGUUCUCUCAGCUGGAGGGCGGUGGAUUGGCUGGGCUUAGAGAAGUGGCGAAAACUACAGGACUCCCCGCCCUGAGCAGGGGAGAAAGGGAUCCCGGAAUGAUGCGGUCAUCCAUGAGGAUAUAGCUGGAGUCCUAAAGGCCAAGAGGCAGACGGGGAAAGAAAUGUCACAAUUUGGGGGAAUACACUGGAGAUAGGGGCCAGGUCGGUGGAAAUAGCUUGGGGCCACCGCGAAAACAAGGUAAGCGGUGUCUGGGUCCAGUUAGUGAGCAUCGAGAACGGCGUCCACGACUGCAGGGCUAUCAGGGCCUCGAGGAGACAGCGCUCCGUGCCACUGCUUAGUGCUUGGCCUUUCAUAGGGACGAACCUGCUUAGGAGUCUUCCAAGAGAUUUUUAAAUCCUCCGAGUCUGGACCUGGAAGCUCCAUUGGCGACGUUUGGAUCUGGCUUCGUAGUCUUUGAUUUCGAAAGCCCAGGAAGAUUCGCAGACUUUCAAGGCCGCACACACCGCAUUGCCGGGAGUCUGGGCGGCGGUGAGGACUGAGAAGCUGUCUCAAGACCUGAGUCUCUUCUCAGGCGAUCCCAGAUAAGAGGAGAGAGAGAGAGCUUUUCUGACUUCCAACUCAUUAGGGACCAGAAGUAUGGACUUGAAUAUGACAGUCUUUUCACUGAUGUCCAGGGAAUUUCUACCUUACAGUGCCCGGGGAAUGGGAUCUGGGGCUAGCUUUCUUCCUGAGAAAACCAGUCCUGGCUUUUGGGAUAUGGCUUCUCAUAUCUUGAAAGUACUCUGAUAUUCUGAAAGGAUGGUUGGUUGACACUACUGAGAGUCUACAGGGAGUGUGGGAAGUUACUCUUAGCAAACCUCAUAUUUUGGAAAGACAGAACCCAGGAAAGUUUAAUAAUUCCUGUAGGGACAGGAGUGCAGGCUGAGGUUGUUCACGGGAUGCAGGUGCUGUUCAACUUCUAAGUGCGGGCUGAGUUUAAUUCAACCCCCUUGGCCAGCACAGGCCCAGACAGGGCCUGGCUCUUUCUAGUCACCAAGUUGCCCUGACUCCCUGCCUUCUAGCAGAAUAACAAUUCGGGGGCAAUGUAGCGCUUGCCUUAUCUUCUUUGGGCUAGUUGGAGUUUCAGAGCAAAUACAUUCUUCUCUAGCCGGCUUAGCUUAAAGUCUGUUUACUUGUCCCCAGGAUAGGUGAAUAUUCAGAGGGCUCUGGGAAUGAGACCCAACAAACUGGACUUUGGUCCUCUCUUGCCACCAAUCACUCUGAUUCCUCCAGCUCCUACCUAGGGGAAUGUGUCAGCUAUAGAAGCAAUCUUGGCAUGCAGACUGGGGCAUAUCUCUUUAGGAAACUAGGUGCUGGGCUCAAAGUGAGCUGGGUUUAAGGUUUUAGUCCCCACAGUUUGGGGACACAAGCCAUUCACACAGCCUGCAACUGGGUCAGCACCUAGGAGGCUUUCAAAAACUGGGGCUCAGAUUUGUUCUGACCUCCAAGUAAAAGAAAUAAACAUUCUAGAGAUGCCCUGACACUGAGAUGGUGGAAGAGGGGAAGUUUCCUCAGUGAGCUGUAGAACAAAUGCCCUAGAAACUGCCCCCUGACAAGUAUCCCACUCAACUCCAGGCCGCGAUGGUUCAGGCAGUGGGGGGAUUUUGCAGACAGCAUCCUCCUCUUUGCUCCUCUCCCCCACCCCACCCCAACCCCGCCGUGUAAACACGAGGACUUUCUCGAGAGCCCUGGAGAGCCGCUCUAGUGGCUUCGGGGCCUGAAACCCCAGGCUUGGCUUGUUUGAUGUUUAGCAUCCCAAAGCGGCUCCCCACCCCCGCCCCAGCCUGGGAACCCCGAGCUCCGGGGCCGAAGAGAAGGGGAAGCAGUUCUCUCAGCUGGAGGGCGGUGGAUUGGCUGGGCUUAGAGAAGUGGCGAAAACUACAGGACUCCCCGCCCUGAGCAGGGGAGAAAGGGAUCCCGGAAUGAUGCGGUCAUCCAUGAGGAUAUAGCUGGAGUCCUAAAGGCCAAGAGGCAGACGGGGAAAGAAAUGUCACAAUUUGGGGGAAUACACUGGAGAUAGGGGCCAGGUCGGUGGAAAUAGCUUGGGGCCACCGCGAAAACAAGGUAAGCGGUGUCUGGGUCCAGUUAGUGAGCAUCGAGAACGGCGUCCACGACUGCAGGGCUAUCAGGGCCUCGAGGAGACAGCGCUCCGUGCCACUGCUUAGUGCUUGGCCUUUCAUAGGGACGAACCUGCUUAGGAGUCUUCCAAGAGAUUUUUAAAUCCUCCGAGUCUGGACCUGGAAGCUCCAUUGGCGACGUUUGGAUCUGGCUUCGUAGUCUUUGAUUUCGAAAGCCCAGGAAGAUUCGCAGACUUUCAAGGCCGCACACACCGCAUUGCCGGGAGUCUGGGCGGCGGUGAGGACUGAGAAGCUGUCUCAAGACCUGAGUCUCUUCUCAGGCGAUCCCAGAUAAGAGGAGAGAGAGAGAGCUUUUCUGACUUCCAACUCAUUAGGGACCAGAUUUGCUCUCCAGCACAGCAAAAGGGUCUGCCUGUGACCCUCACCGAACUCACUCUUCACUGCUUUAUAGAGACCAUCAGACUCAGGACAAAUAUUCUAGUUUGGAUGCGCAAUUAAUAAUAAGAAGAUACAGGACAGAGGCGGACUGAAUGGCUCCAAUUCUCAGAAUGUGAAAGCGUAAAUCAGAACCUACUAUUUUGUAAAACCAACUUGGAAAACAAAAUUGUCAGAAGCAAAACAACAACAACAACAACAAUAAAAACCAAACCAACAACAAAACCAAGCAAGUCAGGCUGUUUUACCAAUAAAGGGGGCACUGAAUGGAAUCAGAGAUCUGAUAAGUGCCGGGAAGUUGGACUAAGAGGGACAGGAGACUUCGAAACUUCUCUGAAUACUGCUUUGCUGCUGACUUCCAAGGAGAUCUCACCAGAGCUGAGCUGAAGCCAGGACCAUAGUGUUAUUGACAUUACCCCCAGAGACAUGAAGAAACAUCUGCUGCCCCUAGAUAUGAAACCAACACAGACCAAACCAACUGUCAGUACUGCAAGUGGUCCACCCACCAAAGAGAUGGAACUCAACGUGGUAGAAUAGAAGCUGAGACAUGUGGACUUGACAGACUUGAGACUCGGCUAUUCAUCCCAGCUCUGAGAGCCCAUGCAGCUCAUUGAGCCUUCGCGACUCCUGGUUUUACUUUCAGCAAAAUGGAGAUAUUAAGCUCUGGGAUCAGUACACGUCAACCUGAACCCGGAAGAGUUCCAAGUAUCUUUCCCCUUCUCUGUCAGGUUCGUGUUACCCUGAACCUGUGAGCUCAGAAGGAAUUUUCUGGUUUUCGGGAGACGGCAGCCAUUCAUCAUAGCUCUCCACCACUGACUGACUGAGAGUCAAUUAUCAUCAAACAUCCAUCUGCCCAUGAUGCUAAUUAUUCCUACUCCAUGAUUGAGGAUUUGGAGUCGGAGACUCACCUGCAAUAUUUGGAAUACCAGUGGAGAUCCAUAUCAACAUGGAAUUUAUACAGCAGCUGGUGCCAGUCACAGCUAAUGAUGAAACUUCAGCUUAAUAAAAAGACCCCCAACUGAGUACAACCAUCUCGAAGAAAGUGUACUUAUCAAACAGCUUUCAAUCAGUUCAAGAGAGACACCUUAAUUGUGAAGAGCAAGAACCGCACAGCAGUUGUCACCAUGCCAACUUCAGAUCAAUGGCACUUCCACUGCUCUUGGUACAUAUAGCCUUGCCUAUGUCCUUAACUGCACCAACAUCCUUCCUGUUGGGAUGAGAUCUUGUCAGCUGCUAGCGUGUGAUGAUGCCUUCGUUCAUUACAUUACUAUACCCCUUAGCAAAAUUUAAACGUGUAAUGAUAAAGGUCACUACCUUUUCCUUUAAUUAAGACCUCUAUUUCUUGUUACCAGAAACAAGUGCCUAUGACAUUUUGUAUUUUCAGAAAUUAUCCUGUUGAAAUAAAGCUACACAAACAAAAUAAAA
RNAcentral lists this small RNA (5216 nucleotides) under Rattus norvegicus (Norway rat). RNAcentral describes it as "uncharacterized LOC100911923". The record is from RNAcentral. Lineage: Eukaryota; Metazoa; Chordata; Mammalia; Rodentia; Muridae.